RNAcentral lists this ribosomal RNA (469 nucleotides) under uncultured bacterium. RNAcentral's name for it is "partial 16S ribosomal RNA". It matches the Rfam family "Bacterial small subunit ribosomal RNA", at positions 28 to 523 of the family's 1533-position model. The record is from RNAcentral.
GACGAACGCUGGCGGAGUGCUUAACACAUGCAAGUCGAACGAAAAAUCAUUGAAAGCUUGCUGAUAUGAUUUUUAGUGGCGGACGGGUGAGUAACGCGUGAGGACUUGUCCAAUACAGGGGGACAACAGUUGGAAACGACUGCUAAUACCCCAUAAGCCUUAGGGUAAAAGGAGCAAUCCGGUAUUGGAGAGACUCGCGUCCUAUCAGCUAGUAGGUGAGGUAACGGCUCACCUAGGCGAAGACGGGUAGCCGGCCUGAGAGGGCGAACGGCCACACUGGAACUGAGACACGGUCCAGACUCCUACGGGAGGCAGCAGUGGGGAAUAUUGGGCAAUGGGGGCAACCCUGACCCAGCGACGCCGCGUGAGUGAAGAAAUCCCUCGGGAUGUAAAGCUCUGUUGUGUGGGAAGAUAAUGACGGUACCACACGAGGAAGCCCCAGCAAACUACGUGCCAGCCGCCGCAGUAA